UAUUAACAAAUACAUGCACCACCUGAAGUGGCAGGUUUUUUAAUGAAUCCACUGAAUAAUCUCAGUGUUUUGUCCUUGCAGAUAAAUAUGCCAGGUAAUUUUUAAAAUGUCUGUUUGUGUCCUAGUUUCUGAGCCUGUAUUCUUUUUAUCAACUUGACAUGUUCGUGUUUCUGAUUAAAUUGAUUUCUUAAAAAGAGGCGUCAAGGAAUUUCAUUCCCACUGUUGAAUAAACUAGAACCCCUGCUGAUGUUUUACGGUUCAACCGUAGAACAUCGGCAGGGGUCCAUGAUUUCAGAUCCUCAUGAAUCUCGUCAUGCUCUUUGUGUGGGAAUAUUGUUUCAGUUACGACUAAUCCGUUCACACUACAAAAGUCACAUAACCUUUCCCUGUUGUCACUCAUGACUCCACAUAGCUCUCUCUCUCUCUCUCUCUGCAUUUGGAAACUGAUCACUGGUGAUCAGACUUUAAUGCUGCAUAUUCUAACCCUUCUUUUGUUGUAUCCAGGAUGUUUAUUUGUUCCUCUCUGCAGAAUAGACCAUUUGAUCCAGCUUAAAAUGACUGAUAGAACUCUAGCAUAAAGUGUGACCAACAUAAUCUUGAUUUCAUGCGACCACCUCAAAAACAAUGUGCUUCUCAGCUGGCCAUUUCUGAGUUGCCUUCCUCAUGAAUUCUCAAAAAAUGUUCCUUAUAAAAAUGACUUGGAUUUGCACUGAAACUGAUCAUAUCGGUUAUUUAAUUUAUUUUCAUAAAAAGCCAACUCAAAAUGAACAACAGUGGAAACCCACCUUACGGCCACCCCACCUUAUGGCCACCUCAUUAUUACAGCCACUUUACUUUGGCCCGAGCUAAAGCUCAGCCAGUCAUUCUUUUUUUUUAAAGAACCCCUUUAAUACGGCCACCCAGUUAAUAUGGACAGUUUUUUUUGUGGCCCGUUGGUGACCAGGUUAAUGAGAUUCCACUGUGUUUCCUGUCACUAAAUACCAUAUCAUUCAAAAUAACUUGAGGCUUCCUCUCAUUAAAUGUAACCAAGUUGUCUGGUUGAUUUAUUGUGUCUAUAUGAUUUAACAGUUGCAAAUUUAAACAAUAAAUAAUAUUUGACCACAACUUUGUUUCAGGUUUGAGGCAGUGCGUAUAACAGAUAAGAAUAGUACAUAUGUCAAGUGUCAUCAGAAUGCUGUUGUGUUUGCACUGUCAUCUUUCCAGUAUAUUCAGCUGUCAGUUGUUUUCUCUGGAAGAGCCCCUUAUCGAAAACCAUUUUAUAAAAGUGUAUAUUUUCUACUGGUCGUUGUGCUACUAACUCUGUUUACAGGAUUUCUAGUGGUUCUUCCAGGACAAGUAUUGCAGAAAUUCUUUGAGUUAGCAACCAUGCCUGACUUAGUCUUCAGGCUAACGCUUGUUGGUAUUGCAGCUUGUAAUUGUCUCAUUUCAUUAUUUAUUGAGAUCUACAUUGUCCCUUCUCAAUGGCUAAAGAAACUACUCAAUUACAUCUUCUGCAAGUCACAUCCUAAGAAUUUCUUUCGAAUAUUAGAGCACCAACUGGAGCAAGAUCUCAACUGGCCUCCUUCACCAAGCUAGAAAGCACUGAGUGCUUUCAUCUUGUCAUCCAAUGUAUUAGUCCCAGGGUUGAUGUAACCAAGAUAUUUUAAAUGUCAUAGGAUUUAGAUAGGAUGUUCUAGUGAACUGAUUUCACAAUCGACCAUAUUCAUCUCUUCUCUGAACAACUCUAAAAUAGCAUGAAGUAACUAACAAUUUGAACAUUCAAUUCCUUCGAAUAUCCACUGCUCAUAUAGUUCGGUCUGUCUCCCUGUGUUUGCACUUGAUUUACUUGUCUCUUUCAUUCCCUUGGUCUUAUUUUGUUUUGCACGUCAAAGGCAGGGGAAUAACUCGAAAACCGCGAAGUUCAUUUAUCCCCCUGGCUCGACUUUAAACACAUACCUUUUCCCUAAGUUAUUGUAAUUUUCUUCCCAAAUGUGUAUUAAGUGUGAAGAGUAAAUAAAGCAUUGUUGCUG
RNAcentral lists this long non-coding RNA (2009 nucleotides) under Orbicella faveolata. Its description in RNAcentral is "uncharacterized LOC110040457". Lineage: Eukaryota; Metazoa; Cnidaria; Anthozoa; Scleractinia; Merulinidae. The record is from RNAcentral.